Molecule: ribosomal RNA, 484 nt
Filed under: uncultured bacterium
Lineage: Bacteria
Description: partial 16S ribosomal RNA
Rfam family: Bacterial small subunit ribosomal RNA
Source: RNAcentral
AUUGAACGCUGGCGGCAGGCCUAACACAUGCAAGUCGAGCGGAUGAAGGGAGCUUGCUCCUGGAUUCAGCGGCGGACGGGUGAGUAAUGCCUAGGAAUCUGCCGGGUAGUGGGGGAUAACGUCCGGAAACGGGCGCUAAUACCGCAUACGUCCUGAGGGAGAAAGUGGGGGAUCUUCGGACCUCACGCUAUCAGAUGAGCCUAGGUCGGAUUAGCUAGUUGGUGGGGUAAAGGCCUACCAAGGCGACGAUCCGUAACUGGUCUGAGAGGAUGAUCAGUCACACUGGAACUGAGACACGGUCCAGACUCCUACGGGAGGCAGCAGUGGGGAAUAUUGGACAAUGGGCGAAAGCCUGAUCCAGCCAUGCCGCGUGUGUGAAGAAGGUCUUCGGAUUGUAAAGCACUUUAAGUUGGGAGGAAGGGCAGUAAGUUAAUACCUUGCUGUUUUGACGUUACCAACAGAAUAAGCACCGGCUAACUUCGUG